AACGAACGCUGGCGGCAUGCCUAACACAUGCAAGUCGAACGAGACCUUCGGGUCUAGUGGCGCACGGGUGCGUAACGCGUGGGAACCUGCCCUUAGGUUCGGAAUAACUCCCCGAAAGGGGUGCUAAUACCGGAUAAUGUCUUCGGACCAAAGAUUUAUCGCCUUUGGAUGGGCCCGCGUUGGAUUAGCUAGUUGGUAGGGUAAAAGCCUACCAAGGCGACGAUCCAUAGCUGGUCUGAGAGGAUGAUCAGCCACACUGGGACUGAGACACGGCCCAGACCCCCCCGGGGGGCAGCAGGGGGGAAAUUGGGAAAUGGGGCGAAAGCCUGACCCCCCAAUGCCCGGGGGGUGAGAAAGGCCUUGGGUUUGAAAAGCUCUUUUCCCCGGGAUGAUAAUGCCGGGCCCGGGAGAAUAAGCCCCGCCUACCUCCGU
This 432-nucleotide ribosomal RNA is filed under the name uncultured bacterium. RNAcentral's name for it is "partial 16S ribosomal RNA". It matches the Rfam family "Bacterial small subunit ribosomal RNA", at positions 29 to 506 of the family's 1533-position model. The record is from RNAcentral.